RNAcentral lists this ribosomal RNA (457 nucleotides) under uncultured bacterium. RNAcentral's name for it is "bacterial SSU rRNA". It matches the Rfam family "Bacterial small subunit ribosomal RNA", at positions 29 to 507 of the family's 1533-position model. The record is from RNAcentral.
AUUGAACGCUGGCGGAAUGCUUUACACAUGCAAGUCGAGCGGCAGCGCGGGGCAACCUGGCAGCGAGCGGCGAACGGGUGAGUAACAUAUCGGAACGUACCCAGUCGUGGGGGAUAACUAUCCGAAAGGAUAGCUAAUACCGCAUACGACCUGAGGGUGAAAGCGGGGGACCGAAAGGCCUCGCGCGAUUGGAGCGGCCGAUAUCGGAUUAGCUAGUUGGUGAGGUAAAGGCUCACCAAGGCGACGAUCCGUAGCUGGUCUGAGAGGACGACCAGCCACACUGGAACUGAGACACGGUCCAGACUCCUACGGGAGGCAGCAGUGGGGAAUAUUGGACAAUGGGCGCAAGCCUGAUCCAGCCAUGCCGCGUGAGUGAUGAAGGCCUUAGGGUUGUAAAGCUCUUUUGGCGGGGACGAUAAUGACGGUACCCGCAGAAUAAGUCCCGGCUAACUUCGUG